RNAcentral lists this long non-coding RNA (358 nucleotides) under Notechis scutatus (mainland tiger snake). RNAcentral describes it as "lncRNA (ENSNSUG00000018144.1)". The record is from RNAcentral. Lineage: Eukaryota; Metazoa; Chordata; Lepidosauria; Squamata; Elapidae.
CGCCUGCGGCUUAGAGCGGAGCCGGGAGGCGUCUCCCGCGUUUCGCAGCUUGGGCUGGGGAGGAGCCGCGGUCGCAGCCGCUCGUUUCUGCCACGUCCCUCCCGGGCGAAGGCGAGCCUGGCGGGCAGCGGCCGGGAGCGCCACAGCACGUGCGCGCCGCAUGAAUGUCUGUUUGUUGGUGGUGUGAGCCAGUGUUUUGGACAAAGCAAUGUUUUAGAAACAGAACUAUAGAAAGAGAACCUCCAGCCAAAGGUUUUUAUACAGGAACCAAUCCGACGCGAAAAGAAACGAGGUCGACCAGAAGAAGCAUUUCUUGGUUGCCCCUUUGACCCCUCUUUGAUUAGAUUUCCUUGACGAG